RNAcentral lists this small RNA (566 nucleotides) under Pongo abelii (Sumatran orangutan). RNAcentral describes it as "processed transcript". Lineage: Eukaryota; Metazoa; Chordata; Mammalia; Primates; Hominidae. The record is from RNAcentral.
AGGCUGGAGUGCUGUGGCGUGAUCUUGGCUCAAUGUAACCUCUGCCUCCUGGGUUCAAGCAAUUCUCCUGCCUCAGCCUCCCUAGUAUGGGACUACAGGUCGCAUCCUGAGUCUCAGCUGGCAUCCCUCUGGUACCCACAUUGCAGCUGGUUCCAUAGACUACAUUAGUGUGUUUGAUGUCAAAUCAGGCAGCGCUGUUCAUAAGAUGAUUGUGGACAGGCAGUAUAUGGGCGCGUCUAAGCGGAAGUGCAUCGUGUGGGGUGUCGCCUUCUUGUCCGAUGGCACUGUCAUAAGUGUGGACUCUGCUGGGAAGGUGCAGUUCUGGGACUCAGCCACUGGGACGCUUGUGAAGAGCCAUCUCAUCGCUAAUGCUGAUGUGCAGUCCAUUGCUGUAGCUGACCAAGAAGACAGUUUCGUGGUGGGCACAGCCGAGGGAACAGUCUUCCAUUUUCAGCUGGUCCCUGUGACAUCUAACAGCAACGAGAAGCAGUGGGUGCGGACAAAACCGUUCCAGCAUCACACUCAUGACGUGCGCACCGUGGCCCACAGCCCAACAGCGCUGAUAU